RNAcentral lists this ribosomal RNA (498 nucleotides) under uncultured Streptococcus sp. Its description in RNAcentral is "bacterial SSU rRNA". It matches the Rfam family "Bacterial small subunit ribosomal RNA", at positions 28 to 508 of the family's 1533-position model. Lineage: Bacteria; Bacillati; Bacillota; Bacilli; Lactobacillales; Streptococcaceae. The record is from RNAcentral.
GAUGAACGCUGGCGGCGUGCCUAAUACAUGCAAGUAGAACGCUGAAGCUUGGUGCUUGCACCGAGCGGAGGAGUUGCGAACGGGUGAGUAACGCGUAGGUAACCUGCCUCUUAGCGGGGGAUAACUAUUGGAAACGAUAGCUAAUACCGCAUAAAAGUCGACAUUGCAUGAUGUUGACUUGAAAGGUGCAAAUGCAUCACUAAGAGAUGGACCUGCGUUGUAUUAGCUAGUUGGUGAGGUAACGGCUCACCAAGGCGACGAUACAUAGCCGACCUGAGAGGGUGAUCGGCCACACUGGGACUGAGACACGGCCCAGACUCCUACGGGAGGCAGCAGUGGGGAAUCUUCCGCAAUGGACGAAAGUCUGACGGAGCAACGCCGCGUGAGUGAAGAAGGUUUUCGGAUCGUAAAGCUCUGUUGUAAGAGAAGAACGAGUGUGAGAGUGGAAAGUUCACACUGUGACGGUAACUUACCAGAAAGGGACGGCUAACUACGUGC